This 454-nucleotide ribosomal RNA is filed under the name uncultured Leptolinea sp. Its description in RNAcentral is "bacterial SSU rRNA". It matches the Rfam family "Bacterial small subunit ribosomal RNA", at positions 917 to 1381 of the family's 1533-position model. The record is from RNAcentral. Lineage: Bacteria; Bacillati; Chloroflexota; Anaerolineae; Anaerolineales; Anaerolineaceae.
GACGGGCCCGCACAAGCAGCGGAGCGUGCGGUUUAAUUCGAUGCUACACGAAGAACCUUACCAGGGUUUGACAUGCAAGUGGUAGGAAGCCGAAAGGUGACCGACCUUCGGGGAGCUUGCACAGGUGCUGCAUGGCUGUCGUCAGCUCGUGUCGUGAGAUGUUCGGUUAAGUCCGCUAACGAGCGCAACCCUCGCUGUGUGUUAUAUGUGUCACACGGGGACUGCCGGUCUUAAGCCGGAGGAAGGUGGGAUGACGUCAAGUCAGCAUGGCCUUUAUGUCCUGGGCUACACACACGCUACAAUGGCCGGUACAAUAGGUUGCGAAGCCGCGAGGCGGAGCCAAUCCUCAAAGCCGGCCUCAGUUCAGAUUGCAGGCUGCAACCCGCCUGCAUGAAGAUGGAGUUGCUAGUAACCGCAGGUCAGCUAUACUGCGGUGAAUACGUUCCCGGGGCUU